Molecule: ribosomal RNA, 398 nt
Filed under: uncultured Neocallimastigomycetes
Lineage: Eukaryota; Fungi; Neocallimastigomycota; Neocallimastigomycetes
Description: eukaryotic LSU rRNA
Rfam family: Eukaryotic large subunit ribosomal RNA
Source: RNAcentral
GUUCUACCUUGACGAAUUGUAGUUUAAAGAAGUGUUUUCUGUUAGAGGAGUAGCAAAAGUUCCUUGGAAUGGGACAUCAUAGAGGGUGAGAAUCCCGUAUUUGGUUAUUCUUUCUAGCUUUGUGAUACACUUUCAAAGAGUCGGAUUGUUUGGGAAUGCAGUCCAAAAUGGGUGGUAAAUUUCAUCUAAAGCUAAAUAUUGGCGAGAGACCGAUAGCGAACAAGUACCGUGAGGGAAAGAUGAAAAGAACUUUGAAAAGAGAGUUAAACAGUACGUGAAAUUGUCAAAAGGGAAGCGUUUGACACCAGUGUUGUUUUUCCGAAAAUCAAUUAAGAAGGACUUGAUUUUGUGUUGUAUUGACCUUAUCAGCUUUCUUCACUCUUUUUCGAGUCUUUCUU